Molecule: small nucleolar RNA, 124 nt
Filed under: Myotis lucifugus (little brown bat)
Lineage: Eukaryota; Metazoa; Chordata; Mammalia; Chiroptera; Vespertilionidae
Description: Small nucleolar RNA SNORA48
Rfam family: Small nucleolar RNA SNORA48
About the family: The snoRNA ACA 48 has been identified to guide pseudouridylation of the residue U3797 in the 28S rRNA subunit. Its host gene EIF4A1 (eukaryotic translation initiation factor 4A1) is shared with U67 and snoRNA mgU6-77
Source: Rfam by way of RNAcentral
UGUCCCUGACUUGGAUAGAAUUGCACCAGAUUUGGUGAUGCUUGUUUCAUGUCAGCCAGGGACCGAGUAACUCCUUGUUUAUCCUAGCUUGGCGUUUGGUCUGGUUCAUGCCCUGAACACUUAA